RNAcentral lists this ribosomal RNA (454 nucleotides) under uncultured bacterium. RNAcentral describes it as "bacterial SSU rRNA". It matches the Rfam family "Bacterial small subunit ribosomal RNA", at positions 39 to 480 of the family's 1533-position model. The record is from RNAcentral.
GGCCGCGGGAAUUCGAUUCAGGCCUAACACAUGCAAGUCGAGGGGUAGUCCCGAUUUAUCGGGAUGAGACCGGCGCACGGGUGCGUAACGCGUAUGCAAUCUACCUUAUACUAAGGGAUAGCCCAGAGAAAUUUGGAUUAAUACCUUAUAGUUAAUAAAAUUGGCAUCAAUUUUAUUAUAAAGAUUAAUUGGUAUAAGAUGAGCAUGCGUCCCAUUAGUUAGUUGGUAAGGUAACGGCUUACCAAGACGAUGAUGGGUAGGGGUCCUGAGAGGGAGAUCCCCCACACUGGUACUGAGACACGGACCAGACUCCUACGGGAGGCAGCAGUGAGGAAUAUUGGUCAGUGGGCGCAAGCCUGAACCGGCCAUGCCGCGUGCAGGAUGACGCAUCUAUGGUGUAAAGCUGCUUUUGUACGGGAAGAAAAAAAGCUACGUGAGCUUACUGACGGUACCG